CUGACUGUGGCUUUCUGCCCGCUGAGCUCCAAAUCAUCGGCUUUAAACGGACGGAAAAAUACAGGCUGCAGCCUCUGUGAUGAGGGAAUGGAAGGGAAAUAAAAAAGCUGCACAUGUAUAGCUGACCACAGUAGAUGCAACAAACACCAGCAGGCUGGCUCGUCAACCUGAGGUUGAACAGGAAAUGUCAGGGGAGAAAUGAGAAGCGGCAGAGGGUUGCGUGCCAGAAGCAAACCGCAGGGCACAGGCUGACCUUUUCACCUCUUGAGGGAACGCAGGGAAGCUGCGGAGACGGCAGCUGUACGGCCGAGGAGAGAGAGUCAUAAAACGCAGAAGGCCGAAAGAGGAAGUCGGGGGAACCUGGACCUCUCCUCUCCCGGCUGUUCUCAUCCCGUCAGUGCGGCAGACAUCAGGGACUGUAUAGCAGAUGAGUUUGACCUACUGCCCCCCUCGGGCCUCAGGGAGGAGGGCAUGGCUCCAAAUGUGCGUGUCAGUAUUUUUGUGUGUUUAUGUUUUGGCGCAUUGCACAAGUGUGCAUACAUGUGUGCUUAAAUCUGGGUCUCCUAAUGUAUUUACGUUGAGACGACCUUGGGUGGGCGUUGGUGGGACUGAAUUUGCCCCCACUGGGACUUUUCCCAAAACCAAAUAUCAGCAGUGGAUUACAUGCAGAGGUCAAGUCCUGUACUAAACCCCCUUCAGUUAAUCAACAGCUCCCAGUUUGGGGGACUGUUUUUUUUUUUUUGAUAGAUGUGGUUAUUUUCACAUGUGGAGACUCAAAAUCAUUAUUUUAUAUUUUACUUGGGUGAAGGCUGUUCAGUGCCCUGUCAAAUUUGUUGCCACGUAGGUCAGUGUUUAGGUUGUGAAACCAUGAUUUACACAGUUGCGGUCAUCAUGCCAAUAAUGAGAUGGAGCUGAAUGGAGCUGCAGGAGUCACCGAUCUGUAGCAACAACUCCAAAUCUCAUUCCUACCAGACAAUAGUUGAAACAUGUUAGUCAGUGAGUAGUGUUAUAAAUCCCUUGUUUUCACGCCUGUGCCACUGUAUUCACCCCUGAAGCACAUUUCUAGAUCGAACUGUUUGCGCUUUUCAAAUUAGAAUCUUGCAUGCAUGAGUGCAUCGUGUGUGUUUGCAUGUUUGCGCGUGUGUAUUUUUGUGUAUUCAAAAUCCGUUUUCUAAUCGCAAACCAUCUCGUUGGCUUGAGUUUCUAGAGAGGCGACGUGCUCCUCUGCACAAAGUCUGCAAGGAACACGCUAACAACGCUCUACUUUAUCCUGAAUUUGUUUGUGACUGAGGGAGCUGGGAAGCGUGGCGGUGUUGUGAGUGUGCAUGCGUGUAGAGUAGAAACCAUGCACAACGCAGAUGACACGGCCAGGACCGUUAUUUUCCCACAGCACAAUAUAAAUAGCUUGCUAGUGUGGGGUGACGGUGGGCAGGCAGGGGCGCACGAGGGAGGAUCCCGUCCACACACAACCACACAUUCCCGUUCCACCUGGCCCUGGCAGGGCCCUGUAGGUCAAUUACAGGCUGUGCUCACACACACGCACACACA
Gasterosteus aculeatus aculeatus (three-spined stickleback) is the source of this 1548-nucleotide non-coding RNA. NCBI's taxonomy places the organism in Eukaryota, Metazoa, Chordata, Actinopteri, Perciformes, Gasterosteidae. The record is from RefSeq and is a predicted model, not a curated record.